AGCUGCAGGAUAACCAAUGCAUCGCUAGCCGCCUGACGACUAACAGAUACGGGGAAGCUUACAGCAUUGUUCUUCAAAAUGAAUCGGUUUUCGCUGCUGCUUCUGCUGUUGGUGAACAUAGCCUUGGCAGACAUUGAGCUCGGUCUGUGCCCCGACUUCACUAAUAUGCAGACCUUCGAAGUGGAGCCCUAUCUCGGCCGGUGGUACGAGAACAGACGUUUCCCGACACAUGCAGCCGGCCUGGAAUGUGUCACCGGCGACUACGGAU
Molecule: long non-coding RNA, 268 nt
Organism: Hyalella azteca
Lineage: Eukaryota; Metazoa; Arthropoda; Malacostraca; Amphipoda; Hyalellidae
Exons: 3
Source: RefSeq, a predicted model, not a curated record